Trifolium pratense (red clover) is the source of this 1750-nucleotide long non-coding RNA. RefSeq lists it as uncharacterized. Lineage: Eukaryota; Viridiplantae; Streptophyta; Magnoliopsida; Fabales; Fabaceae. The transcript is spliced from 8 exons. The record is from RefSeq and is a predicted model, not a curated record.
AUUCAUCUCCGUCGAACCUCCAUCGAUGUCGUCUUACCUUGUCAAGGUACACCGAUCUCGUCGUCUAUGUUCUUCGUUUCGACCCAUCACCUCACAAUCGAACCAUAUAUCAUUCGUUUUCUCUCCUUCAAACCCUAAAUUGUUCUUCGUUAUUAACACCUUUAUCAACCAUGUAACAAAAAAAAAACACCUCUAUCAACCACGCUCGAACACCACCCUCACCCCUUCUUCGAUGCCUUUCGUUGACAGAAAGAAAGAAAGAAACUAUCACGCAAAGGAGCUUUUUGCCAACCCCUUCACUGACGAGCUUCUGCCCUCAUACACAGGUGUUGCAAACUAUUUGAUUUUGGAUUUUAGUGUGGUAUCAUCUAUUUGUUUUCAAUCGCUUAGUAUUGUUUAUUUUGAGGUGUCUUCAUUUCAGUUGGAAUGGUUCUUGUAUAAAAAGGGUUGCUCAAAUGCAUCUUCUCUAUAAAUUUGUAGGUUACAUUAUAGGAAACUUGACAUGCUUUGAUAUAUAAAUUAAGAAGUGGUCAAAGUAAUAGGUUCAAGUUCUUUGAAAUUUGGUGGAUGAGAAUUUUCUGCAUUUCCUCAUAGGAUUGAUUGAAAAGGAGCAUUCUUUCCUGUGCGUUUUUAAAUGGUUUCAACCGCACCAACUGAAGUUCUUUCAUAUGUGAGGAGAUCAUAUACCGGUGAUAUUUACCACGUCUUUAAAAAAAUCAUACAGGUACCAAGCUACCAAGCUUACUUUGCACAUGUAACUUAUUUUAUGGUAAAACUUGUAUGUAUCUGCAAUUGUAAAUGAUUCAGGAAAAUAAUAGGUAUGCCUCAAAUCACACAUUGGGAAUGGAUCUGCCACUCUUAGGUUCCAACUAAAGAAAGCUGACAUUGCUUAUAUAAGACACCUUUCUGCCAGGCUUCCCGAGGUUACAUCUAUUAUCUAUAUCUUUCAUUGAACUUAAUGAUUUUAUUUUUAGUUGACUACAAGAAUCAAGUUGCAGCCUACAGGUAUCUCUUUCUAUCUUUCACUUGUGUAGUUCCCUUAAUAGGAUCCGAUAUUAAAAAAAUUAAACACUUUAUUUGUUGUUUUGUAUACUGUGAAAUGAAUGACUUUCAGGUGAAGAGGGAAGAUUAAAUCAAAUAGUACAUAAAGAUCUAAUGGGAGAGUGACUUAUUUAAAUGAGAAGAAAUUGUCCAUGUUGCGCUCAUGUGUAGACAUAUUUUAGGUGACUUUGUUUAUUAUGUGGAAUUGCAUAUGCCUCUAAGUACUAAGGCACCACAUGUAGAGUUAUAAAUUUUGUGACAAUCUGAGUUGGUAAUUAAGGCUUUUUUCAUGUAUCAAAGAUCAACUAUUUUGAAAUCAGUGGUGUCAUUUAUAAGCAAAGGAUUAAUUAAGUUUGCCAUUUUGAUACCUCUAGAUAUAUUUGAGUUGUAUUUUGAAGUUAGAUUAUUUUAUAACCAAUACUUGGUUAAUAUUGUAGUGCAUGUCACUUAUUUUAUUUCUUAUGAGCAGUUUGAUUUUAGGAUUAAUGAAAUUUGUUUGGUUUUUAUUAUCCAGAUUCAGAAAAACUAGCACUCAUUAUCAGACAUGAAAACAAAUGAGUAUAAGCCAACAAUGGUGGUGUUGACAAGACAAAAGUUGCCAACAUUAUUGUACGCAGAGAGGGAUCAAUGGUGCUUUUACUUCUACUUCAUUUGAAAGAUCAAGGAUGUGAAUUUUGACGUAUCAAUUUAUAUUUAGCUAGUUUUGUGA